RNAcentral lists this ribosomal RNA (405 nucleotides) under uncultured bacterium. RNAcentral's name for it is "bacterial SSU rRNA". It matches the Rfam family "Bacterial small subunit ribosomal RNA", at positions 355 to 776 of the family's 1533-position model. The record is from RNAcentral.
UGAGGAAUCUUGCACAAUGGGGGAAACCCUGAUGCAGCGACACCGCGUGCGGGAAGACGGCCUUCGGGUUGUAAACCGCUUUUCCGGGGGACGAGGAAGGACGGUACCCCGGGAAUAAGUCCCGGCUAACUACGUGCCAGCAGCCGCGGUAAAACGUAGGGGGCGAGCGUUAUCCGGAAUCACUGGGCGUAAAGGGCGUCUAGGCGGCCAGCUAAGUCUCAUGUGAAAGCUCCCGGCUCAACUGGGAGAGGGCGUGGGAGACUGGGUGGCUAGAGGGUCGGAGGGGGGCGUGGAAUUCCCGGUGGAGUGGUGGAAUGCGUUGAGAUCGGGAGGAACACCAGAAGCGAAGGCGGCGCCCUGGCCGACUACUGACGCUGAAGCGCGAAAGCGUGGGGAGCGAACGGG